This 497-nucleotide ribosomal RNA is filed under the name uncultured bacterium. RNAcentral describes it as "partial 16S ribosomal RNA". It matches the Rfam family "Bacterial small subunit ribosomal RNA", at positions 28 to 507 of the family's 1533-position model. The record is from RNAcentral.
GACGAACGCUGGCGGCGUGCCUAAUACAUGCAAGUAGAACGCUGAAGAGAGGAGCUUGCUCUUCUUGGAUGAGUUGCGAACGGGUGAGUAACGCGUAGGUAACCCGCCUUGUAGCGGGGGAUAACUAUUGGAAACGAUAGCUAAUACCGCAUAACAAUGGAUGACACAUGUCAUUUAUUUGAAAGGGGCAAUUGCUCCACUACAAGAUGGACCUGCGUUGUAUUAGCUAGUAGGUGAGGUAAUGGCUCACCUAGGCGACGAUACAUAGCCGACCUGAGAGGGUGAUCGGCCACACUGGGACUGAGACACGGCCCAGACUCCUACGGGAGGCAGCAGUAGGGAAUCUUCGGCAAUGGGGGCAACCCUGACCGAGCAACGCCGCGUGAGUGAAGAAGGUUUUCGGAUCGUAAAGCUCUGUUGUAAGUCAAGAACGGGUGUGAGAGUGGAAAGUUCACACUGUGACGGUAGCUUACCAGAAAGGGACGGCUAACUACAUG